CAUUUAACCAUGUGUGAUAUGUAUUGAUAGGGUAGGAAGAUAGUAUAAAAACAAAGUGAAAAUGAGAGACAAAAUAAAAGAUGUUUCAAAUGGCACGUAACAUGUUAUCAACACAUCAAACAUUUGUCUUAUUGAGUUUCUCCAUGCUGGCUGGCCAGAAAUAAAACAAGACAUCCACAACCACACGUCUUACAUUGUAUUCUCAAGCCUUCAUUCUCCUCUUGCUUGUUUUUCACACCCUUCUUCCCUUUUCAUAAUGGCUCAGAAGGUGGUGUUAAAGGUCCUUACUAUGACGGAUGACAAAACAAAGAAGAAAUCAAUAGAAGCAGUUGCAGAUAUCUAUGGAGUUGAUUCAAUCGAGACAGAUGUUAAUGAACAGAAGUUA
Long non-coding RNA from Vicia villosa (hairy vetch), 385 nucleotides. RefSeq lists it as uncharacterized. The record is from RefSeq and is a predicted model, not a curated record. Lineage: Eukaryota; Viridiplantae; Streptophyta; Magnoliopsida; Fabales; Fabaceae. The transcript is spliced from 3 exons.